UACGUAGGGGGCGAGCGUUGUCCGGAUUUAUUGGGCGUAAAGAGCUCGUAGGCGGCUGUUCGAGUCGGGUGUGAAAUCCUGAGGCUUAACCUUGGGUCUGCAUUCGAUACUGGGCGGCUUGAGUCUGGUAGGGGGAUCUGGAAUUCCUGGUGUAGCGGUGGAAUGCGUAGAGAUCGGGAAGAACAUCGGUGGCGAAGGCGGCCAGCUGGGCCAUUGCUGACGCUGAUGCGCGACAGCGUGGGGAGCAAACAGG
RNAcentral lists this ribosomal RNA (253 nucleotides) under uncultured bacterium. RNAcentral's name for it is "partial 16S ribosomal RNA". It matches the Rfam family "Bacterial small subunit ribosomal RNA", at positions 524 to 776 of the family's 1533-position model. The record is from RNAcentral.